RNAcentral lists this long non-coding RNA (199 nucleotides) under Elaeis guineensis (African oil palm). RNAcentral describes it as "long non-coding RNA (EGUI_LNC070089)". The record is from RNAcentral. Lineage: Eukaryota; Viridiplantae; Streptophyta; Magnoliopsida; Arecales; Arecaceae.
AUUCUCUUAAUAAAGAAUGAUAUUUCUUAUAUUACAGGAAAUAAAGGUUUUGCUAUUAUCAUUGUUCUCUAUAAAGGACUUGAAAAAAGUAUCUCUCAUCCUAGGGAUAAAGAUCUAUAGAGAUAGAUUUAAGAGGCUGCUUGGGUUAUCCCAAUCCAACAUACAUAGGGGUGAUAUCGGAUAUGGUAUACUCACUAGG